GCUAUAGUCAUGGGAAUCUCCGGGUAAGCUGUUUUUGAGUGUCUACUAUAUCUUGAUAAGAAUGAUGCUCUUGCUAGGCCAACAUGAUGAGUUUUUAUGUUAUUACCCUGUCAUAAAAAUUAGUUAAUUUCUGAUGGAAUAUACUGUGAAAAAAUUUUAUUAUGUUCUAAAAGGACAUGUCAUGUAUUCAUGUUACCUUUUAUACAAAGUAACAUAAUUGUAGAUUAUGAUAGGCAUUGGUAAU
RNAcentral lists this unclassified non-coding RNA (244 nucleotides) under Hevea brasiliensis (rubber tree). Lineage: Eukaryota; Viridiplantae; Streptophyta; Magnoliopsida; Malpighiales; Euphorbiaceae. The record is from RNAcentral.